Molecule: long non-coding RNA, 926 nt
Filed under: Mytilus galloprovincialis (Mediterranean mussel)
Lineage: Eukaryota; Metazoa; Mollusca; Bivalvia; Mytilida; Mytilidae
Source: RNAcentral
GCGCUAAACCUCUCACAAUAUACCAUUAGAAUACAAGUGUACAGAAUUUUCAAACAAAUCUGAAAAAUGUUUUGAUAAAAAUAUAAUAUAAAAAUAUGGUUUACAUUUUAUAUUAUACAAUAAACAAGGAAAUACGGAUAAGGUGUUAAGUGUCUAUAAGGUACCAUAACCACUAAUAAUCACAUGUGUUACCAUUCAUAAAUAACGUAUAUCCAUACACUGAUAGACCAGGCAAAGCUCUUCAAAAUGAUUGUUACAACUUUGACAAACAAUGUUUUGUAUUGCAUACGUAUAUAGUAUCAUUUAUAUCAUGUAUAUCAUUGUAUAAAAGUGAACUGGUUUCCAGUACUAUUUUUUUCCUGUGCGACAUGUAUUACUCAAACAUUUUGAAACCUACAUUGACGAAAUAAAGUGCAAAAGUGCAAUGUGUGCAUCGUAUAAGACAAAAAUAUAUGAAGUGCUUAAAAUAAUGUUAAUAAAGUAUCCAUACGGACAUUUUCAGCAAAUAAAACCAAAUACGUGGCGACUUUAGAGUAGUUUUUUGUAUUUGAAUAAUUUAUCACUGUUUGAGUGGAAUUAACAAGUCCUUUUUUGCCAACCAUCUAAUAAAUCAUGUAUUGAUAUGAAUUUGACUUCUGUACCAACCUUAGGUCUUAAAAAUUAAAUAAGAUCAGAGCAUGCACGUAUACUUUAAAAAGUUUAAGUUACAAAAAAAAGUUACAUAAAAAAAAUACAAAUUGAACACUCAAACAUGAGUUGUGUAUUUUUUGACACGCCAUAUGUUUCAAGACCUUAUAUGCAAAUGAAUUUAAAAUACUAAAACUGGCAAAACUAAACUCCUGAGAUUAUAACUUGAUUGACUUCACAACACAGAAAUUUGUAAAAUAAACAUUUAAAACUUAAGAUUUGAUUUGAUGAAUUCACAA